Molecule: unclassified non-coding RNA, 209 nt
Filed under: Hevea brasiliensis (rubber tree)
Lineage: Eukaryota; Viridiplantae; Streptophyta; Magnoliopsida; Malpighiales; Euphorbiaceae
Source: RNAcentral
UGAUUAGUUUAUAUAGCAUGGAAAGAGUUGGAAGUACAAGGAUUCUUGAUCCCUAAGAAUAUCAGCUAUGGAUCAUAAAUCGAAUGAAUCAUACGUUAAGUUUCAGUUGCAGCUAUUCCCUUGUACAUUAGAUUCUGGCGGAUGAGAAUUGAGAAGUAGUUGCUUAGAUUCUAGUCAUCCUUGAUUCCUUCAAUAUGAAUGCAUUCAUA